Molecule: ribosomal RNA, 497 nt
Filed under: uncultured bacterium
Lineage: Bacteria
Description: partial 16S ribosomal RNA
Rfam family: Bacterial small subunit ribosomal RNA
Source: RNAcentral
GAUGAACGCUGGCGGCGUGCCUAAUACAUGCAAGUCGAGCGAACAGACGAGGAGCUUGCUCCUCUGACGUUAGCGGCGGACGGGUGAGUAACACGUGUAUCACCUACCUAUAAGUCUGGGAUAACUUCGGGAAACCGGAUCUAAUACCGGAUAAUAUAUUGAACCGCAUGGUUCAAUAGUGAAAGACGGUUUUGCUGUCACUUAUAGAUGGAUCCGCGCCGCAUUAGCUAGUUGUUAAGGUAACGGCUUACCAAGGCAACGAGGCGUAGCCGACCUGAGAGGGUGAUCGGCCACACUGGAACUGAGACACGGUCCAGACUCCUACGGGAGGCAGCAGUAGGGAAUCUUCCGCAAUGGGCGAAAGCUUGACGGAGCAACGCCGCGUGAGUGAUGAAGGUCUUCGGAUCGUAAAACUCUGUUAUUAGGGAAGAACAAAUGUGUAAGGAACUAUGCACGUCUUGACGGUACCUAAUCAGAAAGCCACGGCUAACUACGUG